GCCGGGCGUGGUAGCGGGCGCCUGUAGUCCCAGCUACUCGGGAGGCUGAGGCAGGAGAAUGGCGUGAACCCGGGAGGCGGAGCUUGCAGUGAGCCGAGAUCGCGCCACUGCACUCCAGCCUGGGCGACAGAGCGAGACUCCGUCUCAAAAAAAAAAAAAAAAAAAAAAAAAAGUGCAAUAAGUAGAGGAAGGAAACACUUGAUUUUUAUUUAUUUAUUUAUUUUUUUGAGACAAGAGUCUCGCUCUGUCACCCAGGCUGAAGUCGCCCAGGCUGGAGUGCAGUGGCCUGAUCUCGGCUCACUGCUAGCUCCGCCUCCCGCGUUCACGCCAUUCUCCUGCCUCAG
Molecule: non-coding RNA, 344 nt
Organism: Homo sapiens (human)
Lineage: Eukaryota; Metazoa; Chordata; Mammalia; Primates; Hominidae
Source: Rfam